AUCGACGACAUCAGCCUGCUGAUGAGCUCCCACACGAAUUGCUUGAUUCAUUGUAUAAAGACGAUCAAGACCCAAAGUUUUACCCUUAGGUCUGUAGCUCAGUUGGUUAGAGCGCACCCCUGAUAAGGGUGAGGUCGGCAGUUCAAAUCUGCCCAGACCUACCAAUUUUGGUUGGAAUGUUGAGCACCCCAUGCCUCUGGAUAAAGAGUGGUGAGGACGGCUCUUCUGCAGUUCAAAUCUGCCCAGACCUACCAAUAUGCGGGGCCAUAGCUCAGCUGGGAGAGCGCCUGCCUUGCACGCAGGAGGUCAGCGGUUCGAUCCCGCUUGGCUCCACCACUUGCUUUACCUUGAUCAAACUCAGAAAUGAGCAUUCGCGUCGAAUGUUGAUUUCUGACUUUUGUCAGAUCGUUCUUUAAAAAUUCGGAUAUGUGAUAGAUAUAGACUGAACACCAGUUUCACUGCUGGUGGAUCAGGCUAAGGUAAAAUUUGUGAGUUCUGCUCGAAAGAGCAACGUACGAAUUUUCGGCGAAUGUCGUCUUCACAGUAUAACCAGAUUGCUUGGGGUUAUAU
Molecule: transfer RNA, 570 nt
Filed under: Pseudomonas putida
Lineage: Bacteria; Pseudomonadati; Pseudomonadota; Gammaproteobacteria; Pseudomonadales; Pseudomonadaceae
Rfam family: tRNA (bases 88-161)
Source: RNAcentral